Molecule: ribosomal RNA, 1070 nt
Filed under: Salmonella enterica
Lineage: Bacteria; Pseudomonadati; Pseudomonadota; Gammaproteobacteria; Enterobacterales; Enterobacteriaceae
Description: partial 23S ribosomal RNA
Rfam family: Bacterial large subunit ribosomal RNA
Source: RNAcentral
AGACCCGAAACCCGGUGAUCUAGCCAUGGGCAGGUUGAAGGUUGGGUAACACUAACUGGAGGACCGAACCGACUAAUGUUGAAAAAUUAGCGGAUGACCUGUGGCUGGGGGUGAAAGGCCAAUCAAACCGGGAGAUAGCUGGUUCUCCCCGAAAGCUAUUUAGGUAGCGCCUCGUGAAUUCAUCUCCGGGGGUAGAGCACUGUUUCGGCUAGGGGGUCAUCCCGACUUACCAACCCGAUGCAAACUGCGAAUACCGGAGAAUGUUAUCACGGGAGACACACGGCGGGUGCUAACGUCCGUCGUGAAGAGGGAAACAACCCAGACCGCCAGCUAAGGUCCCAAAGUCAUGGUUAAGUGGGAAACGAUGUGGGAAGGCCCAGACAGCCAGGAUGUUGGCUUAGAAGCAGCCAUCAUUUAAAGAAAGCGUAAUAGCUCACUGGUCGAGUCGGCCUGCGCGGAAGAUGUAACGGGGCUAAACCAUGCACCGAAGCUGCGGCAGCGACGCUUAUGCGUUGUUGGGUAGGGGAGCGUUCUGUAAGCCUGUGAAGGUGGCCUGUGAGGGUUGCUGGAGGUAUCAGAAGUGCGAAUGCUGACAUAAGUAACGAUAAAGCGGGUGAAAAGCCCGCUCGCCGGAAGACCAAGGGUUCCUGUCCAACGUUAAUCGGGGCAGGGUGAGUCGACCCCUAAGGCGAGGCCGAAAGGCGUAGUCGAUGGGAAACGGGUUAAUAUUCCCGUACUUGGUGUUACUGCGAAGGGGGGACGGAGAAGGCUAUGUUGGCCGGGCGACGGUUGUCCCGGUUUAAGCGUGUAGGUGUGUGUUCCAGGUAAAUCCGGUUCACUUUAACACUGAGGCGUGAUGACGAGGCACUACGGUGCUGAAGCAACAAAUGCCCUGCUUCCAGGAAAAGCCUCUAAGCAUCAGGUAACAUCAAAUCGUACCCCAAACCGACACAGGUGGUCAGGUAGAGAAUACCAAGGCGCUUGAGAGAACUCGGGUGAAGGAACUAGGCAAAAUGGUGCCGUAACUUCGGGAGAAGGCACGCUGACACGUAGGUGAAGUGAUUUACUCA